This 255-nucleotide ribosomal RNA is filed under the name uncultured bacterium. RNAcentral's name for it is "partial 16S ribosomal RNA". It matches the Rfam family "Bacterial small subunit ribosomal RNA", at positions 524 to 776 of the family's 1533-position model. The record is from RNAcentral.
UACGGGGGGGGGCAAGCGUUGUCCGGAUUUAUUGGGCGUAAAGAGCUCGUAGGCGGUUCAGUAAGUCGGGUGUGAAAACUUUGGGCUUAACCCAAAGCGUGCAUCCGAUACUGCUGUGACUUGAGUUCGGUAGGGGAGUGGGGAAUUCCUAGUGUAGCGGUGAAAUGCGCAGAUAUUAGGAGGAACACCGGUGGCGAAGGCGCCACUCUGGGCCGAAACUGACGCUGAGGAGCGAAAGCAUGGGUAGCAAACAGG